AAGAUAUGAGAGACAGUAAGUGGGACAUCACAGAAGCCCACAAUGUCACAUGAUGCUAAAAUGUCUCUCUCGGCUGCUGCCACUGCUCGCAAACAGAGGAAGACCCGAAGCAACAGGGUCAAGUUUUGAGGAGAAGUAGGCAACAGGCCUAAGUUGUCCUCCAUGAAGAUGACACAAAACUGAUGUCAUUUAACAGUCCUUCUGGUCUAUGAACAGAGUCUACGGUAAGUCGGGUCUCAGCAGGCCCAGAGUCGGGGCCUGUGAUAAGGAAGUCUUUAAGUCCUGAAAAGCCUUUUCAGCUUCAGUAGUCCAAGUCAGUUUGUCAUGCGCGCUGAGGCCUUUACCGUGGACCAUGAACGAGAGAGGUGCCUCUCUUUCUGAAUAAAUAGGGAUCCACUGUCUACAGUAUGAAGUCAUCCCCAAAAAACUCAUCAUUCGUUUUUUUUUUGUUUUUGGUACCAAUUGAAUUGCCCCAAUACGUUUGGGAGAGAGGGAUUUUGCCCUCAGCUGUGAUCACAUGUCCCCGAUAAGUCACUUGUUCUAGAGCAAAUUUAAGUUUUUCAUAGGCAAGCCUUAUUUCCGUUCUCUGCCAAAUGUUUAAGUAGCCAAAUUGUAUCAAUUUUACAAGCCUCCUUUGAUGGGCUGCAAAUCAUCAUAUCAGCCACAUAAUUUAGAUGGGCCGACCCUGCAGGGAGUUAUAAAUUAUGUAGAUGUUCCUAAGCGCUUCUGUGGAAUACACCUGACUUCUGUGGUAACCCACUGGACAUCCUAUCCAUUUAUAGCCGCGCCCAAAAAAGAAAAAAAAAACAAACCAACUUAUGUCUUCUUGUUUGGGAGGCUAUACAAGUCUGCGUGUUAUGUGUAUUCCUCAACGAGCUCUACUGUUCUGUGUACACUUACUCGUGUGAUCAACGUAGUGCGAUCUACAUUACCACUAGCGCUAUAUUCUUCAUGAGGAUCCUCUGCACCCGGUCUGAACUUUAGGCCGAGACACACCCAUGCAACCAUGGACCAAGAUCCUGUAUCCCAGUGAGAUGGUUUAGCCAAUGAAAUGUGGAGUAGAAUCGAGGAACACCUUUUUUCCUUUGGGAAGGAGAGAGAGAUACAGACACCGCAGCAGCCUCCUCUGACCAAUACACAUGCUU
This is a long non-coding RNA of Gasterosteus aculeatus aculeatus (three-spined stickleback), 1145 nucleotides long. The record is from Ensembl. NCBI's taxonomy places the organism in Eukaryota, Metazoa, Chordata, Actinopteri, Perciformes, Gasterosteidae.